AUUGAACGCUGGCGGCAUGCUUUACACAUGCAAGUCGAACGGCAGCACGAAAGAGCUUGCUCUUUUGGUGGCGAGUGGCGAACGGGUGAGGAAUGCAUCGGAACGUACCGAGUAAUGGGGGAUAACUGUCCGAAAGGAUAGCUAAUACCGCAUACGCAUUGAGAAGGAAAGUGGGGGCUCUUCGGACCUUACGUUAUUCGAUCGGCCGAUGUCUGAUUAGCUAGUUGGUGGGGUAAAGGCCUACCAAGGCGACGAUCAGUAGCGGGUCUGAGAGGAUGAUCCGCCACACUGGGACUGAGACACGGUCCAGACUCCUACGGGAGGCAGCAGUGGGGAAUUUUGGACAAUGGGCGCAAGCCUGAUCCAGCCAUGCCGCGUGUCUGAAGAAGGCCUUCGGGUUGUAAAGGACUUUUGUUAGGGAAGAAAAGGAUAGUGUUAAUACCAUUAUCUGCUGACGGUACCUAAAGAAUAAGCACCGGCUAACUACGUG
RNAcentral lists this ribosomal RNA (490 nucleotides) under uncultured bacterium. Its description in RNAcentral is "partial 16S ribosomal RNA". It matches the Rfam family "Bacterial small subunit ribosomal RNA", at positions 30 to 507 of the family's 1533-position model. The record is from RNAcentral.